GGCUUUCAAUAUUUUUUUCUUGGCUCCUUCUACAACAAUUGUAUGUGUAGUAUGAUUGUUAGUUUUUUCAUAUUUUUUUUAAAAAUCUUUAUUACUUAUUAAUUUACAAAUCUUUCAAAAUCAGAAUAGAUGAUUUAUGUCCAUGUAUGAGGAUUACGAGAGGGUCUAUGGCAAAACAUAAACAAGUUUAAGUUGAACAAUCUAUUGAAGAAUUGAGAUCC
Non-coding RNA from Solanum lycopersicum (tomato), 221 nucleotides. The record is from RefSeq and is a predicted model, not a curated record. Lineage: Eukaryota; Viridiplantae; Streptophyta; Magnoliopsida; Solanales; Solanaceae.